Molecule: long non-coding RNA, 4769 nt
Organism: Rattus norvegicus (Norway rat)
Lineage: Eukaryota; Metazoa; Chordata; Mammalia; Rodentia; Muridae
Source: RefSeq, a predicted model, not a curated record
UGAAGGUUCAUGCCAAGGAUGUGGGUGGGAACACGUGAGGAUCUUUUGUGUCUUGGAGGUCGAGCAGCCAACUCCCCGGGACCAAGACUUGGGGCAGGCAGCUGGCCACUCCGCAGUAGACCAGGCAGGUAGAUCUCUUGAGGUCAAGGCCAGCCUGGUCUACAGAGUGAGUUCCAGGACAGCCAUGGGAAUAAAGGCCACACCACCGCUUUGCUGACUUGGAAUUUUUGAGGACUCCUGUCUCCACCUGGGUUUAGUGUACUCAGUGACUACAGGCUCAGUGACUUCAUGCCCAGUUUAUAAAUUCUGGAAAGCCAAGACUUCCUGUGUGCUUGACGGUGCCCCUUGGAUCUCUGCUCUCAAGCAAGGGCUCGUGGCUGAUGCUGCUUUUCCAGAACACUGCAUAAAAGCCUGGGUUUGUUUAAAACUCUAGCCCUGGGCCAGGGAGACGGCUUGGCAGGUGAAAAUCAGCAGAGCCAGCCUGUGAUCUGAAUCUGAUCUCUGAAACCCACAGAAAAAGCCAGAGUGGCCAGCACAACGGUAAUGCCAGCACAUCUGUAAUGCCACCAUGCUCACGGUGUAAAGGGAGGGCUGGCUGGACGCUCAAGAGACUGGGAAUAUAGCUCACUGGAACAGACUUGACUAGCAAGUGUGAGGCCCUGGUUCAAUCCUGAGAUCACACACACACACACACACACACACACACACACACACACACACACACACUGACUCCCACAGCUGUCUUCUGGCCUCCACAUAUGUGCUGAGGUAAACUCACAUACACAUAAAACUUCAAAACACUAGUUCCUUUGGAUUCCACAUCUUUGUCCCUGGUCCCUGUACAGUGUCUGGCACAAAGCAGGUAUUCCAGGACAGCUGGUUUGGCUUGGCCAGUGAUACUCUACUCCAGAUCGGGGAUAGAGCCAAAAGGAGGCUCCCAGAAUUCUAUGCUUGGGCCAGAUGGCUUAAAACAAACAGUUCUUCACCCCGAUGAGGGCAGAUAGCAAUUCUCCUGUGACAAUCUACUUACUGAUAUGGCUUCUUUGUCAUCAAACUGUGUCCUCGACCACACAUGCAGCUCACAUCAACUUUAGGAUCAAGUUCCAAGAAUUUAAGAGUCCUAUAAGUACAUUCUCCAACAGAGGGAGCUUAUAUAUUAGCUGCCUGACAAGCCUGACCGUCCUAUGUGAGCCAAGGAGAAAUCCUGCCAGGGUGCAUUUCAUGGUGUGUGUGUGUGUGUGUGUGUGUGUGUGUGUGUGUGUGUGUAAAGGGGGAUGAAUUACAGUGUAGAAAAAUCUCUAGGACCGGAUCUCAUUUUCAUAAAAGAUACAGCCAAACAUAAAGGGUCUAAAAAGAUAGAAGACAGAUGGAAUUUUUGAGGACAAGAGGAACCUUUGACUUCAUUUAUGGUGAGCCAGUAUUUGCUUGCAAUUUAAGGGACUCAUGAGAUGGCUCAGCAGGUAGAGAGCUCACUUCCUGCCAACCCCAAGUUUGACCCCCCCAAGGUGGAAGGAGAGAACUGACUAACCCAAGUUCUUCUCUGACCUCCACAUCUGCAUCGUGACGUGUGCGUACACGUGCGCGCGCGCGCGCGCGCACACACACACACACACACACACAUCAUAAGUAAUUAAAAAUACAUUGAAGAUUAAAGCCAUAAAAACAAAGCGAAAACUCCCAUUAAGGCCAAUAAGCAUGUGAGCUAAGCCCACAAGAUGUUCCGGAAGGAAGACCAAGGGGCUGCUGGUAUUAUGUAACUGCUCAUGUCCAGGACCCUUCCCAGGACACUAAAGGCACAGGCCGCCUGACCCCUGAGUCCCAGACUGUCUGUCUCCAGUCCUGCCUCGCUAUUCCUUUGCCAGGGAACUCAGGGAACUUUUUGUGUAGGUAGUGUCAGAAUUAGAACCCAGGGCCUCAUACUUGCUAGGAAAAUGCCCUAAAACUAGCUGUCAUAUGGUCUUAGAGCUAAAAAUUGUACAGAGCCCUGAGAGAAAGAAUGGGCUGAUGCUACCCCUCUAGCUGGAGGAAGAAAGUGGGAGCACUGAGGGUGGACAGCCAGAGCCCUGGGAAGUCCAGGCUGUACGCUGGAGCUUUUCCAACUCCUGGACGCAGGACAAGAGAAAUGUAUUAGGGUUGUUUACCCUGUUGCUUGGGACUCAGAGAAUCUCAGCUGAGGAACAGCUGAGAGGCCGGUGACUAAGCUCCCAUCCCUGGGCAUCCGUCUGUAGGACACUUCACACUCUCUCACCCGCCUCCCACCGCCCCUCCUCUCAGAAGGGACAGCUGAGCCUUCUCUGGUGGACUGGGGAGGGGAACUGAGGCUAAAGAGGUUAGGCACGAGGUCCUGGCACCCAAGCGGAAAAUGAGCCAUGCUGGCAAGAACCCAGUGUGUGCUUGUGCUGCCGGGGAUAAGGAUGGUUGGUGGCACUUGCUCCCUUCAUGUAGCCUGUAUGAAAUCUGAGGUAAAGCUUACAGAUUCUUCUCUUAUUCUUCUACUCUGAGGCUCUGCUUUGACAUCUACCACAGCCUGGCCCAAGUACAAACCAGGCAAUAAAUCAGGCUUAUUCACAUUCCAGCCAGAAUCAUUCCAAAAGCCCAGGGCAGCCAUGACAGCAGAGCCAGGGUCUGCUCUACAUGGAGGGCGCCCAGGGCCUGCUGCACCUGGGUGAUCUCAUUACUUGGGUCUCUUUCCUUUGAGACCAGGACAUAAACCAGUUAUUUACCCUGUGGGCAGUCCUCUAACCCCCUAAAAAAACCAAAAUAACCAAACCAAACAAAGUCACAACCCACCUCAAACAAAAUCCCCAAAACGAUCCACAUAAAUUCCAACCCUUAGUCUUUUUGGUGAGGAACAAGCUGGCUCCCAGCAGAGGAGCGGGGACUUCCAAAGCAGGGUUUGAGACGGACGCCGAGGAGCAGAGCUGACACUACCACUGAGGCUUGUGGAUCUGCGUUCCCAUCUGGGCUGGGACAGUCCUGCAGGAAGAAGCCUCAGGCUCUAGGGCUACCUGGGUGGCAGUGGGCAAGCCACAGGGGAGGUGACUCCCUUCCUGUGGUGUAUCAUGACCUUCAGACAAGGACUCUCCUUUUCCUUUCUCUCUUCAAAGCUAUGGUCUGUGACAAAUUUGGAUUUGAACCUGAUUUAACCACCAGCAUAGGUUCUUUUUUUUUUUUUUUUUUUUGGUUCUUUUUUUCGGAGCUGGGGACCGAACCCAGGGCCUUGCGCUUCCUAGGUAAGCGCUCUAUCACUGAGCUAAAUCCCCAGCCCCCCAGCAUAGGUUCUUAAUGUCUGCCUGGGCCACCUUUCCACAUCAUUCUGCCUGUCUUGGACCACAAUGCACCUGGCCAGUGGGAGGCAGGUUUAACUUCCAGUGUUUAGCCUCCUCUCCGGAGACACCUGACAGGUGAUAGCUACUGUUCUAUCACUCAGCUCUAUGGCAUGAGGGUUUUUGUUCAGCACGAGUUGCCUGUGAACUCAAACAUCUCCCAGGCCUGGACUUGCCCCUACAGGCCCUGGUGUCUGUCCUCAGCGGUCAGGGCUGUAUCCAGACCCGAGCUGCGUGCUCCUGUACUGCCUCUCACAGACAUGCAUACCAAGGGCAGCAAUCAGGCCAGGCCACGUGACAGACCAGACCGCUCCCUUCCAACUCCAGCUGACCCAAGAGCAGCGAGCGUGCCAACCAUCAGGGCAGAGCCCAGGAUACCCCAUGACUGUUGCUGACUGAAAGCUGAAGUGGAAUGCAGCAGCCCGUGUGACUUCCCUUUUGGCUCUCUGGAAUUAUGUCUACUAUUUAAUUUUUUUUUCUGAGUCAGGGUCUCACAGUGUAGUCCAGUCUGGCCUACAGUCCAUGACCAUCCUCUUGCCCUAGCCUCCCCAGUGCUGGGAACUUGGGUGCGAGCCCAGCGGGGUAUCGUCUUGGCAUACCUUUUUGACAGCACACUGGAAGCCUGUCUGCUUGUCCUUCAUUCUGUGGACUUCGCCGAAGGACCCUCUGCCCACCCGAGGCUGGUGUGUCAUCCAGUGGACCUCUUCCCGGUACUCAUAAUCCACUGGUUUGAGUUUCUGAGGUUGAAGAGCAAGAGGUCAGUUUCAGUGACCUGGGCAGCAGGGGGACAAAGGGCUACAGUGGGGAAAGAUCUCCAGCCACCAGCUAGGGCUCUGGUGGCCAAAUGGACACAUCCAAAGAUACCACCAGCCUUAUGGUGGGAUGACAAGGGAGACAGCCAAAACCGGUUCAGAGGAUAAGAAGACAAAGGUGGGGCUGGAGAGAUGGCUCAGUGGCUAAGAGCACUGACUGCUCUUCCAGAGAUCCUGAGUUCAAUUCCCAGCAACCACAUGGUGGCUCACAACCAUCUGUAAUGGGAUCUGAGGCCCUCUUCUGGCCUGCAGGCAGAGUGCUGUAUACUUAGGAAAAAAAAAAAAAAAGACAAAGGUGACCUUCACCGGCUGCCCGGGGGGUGGGUGGGGUGGGCAGAUAGCUCCUGUGAGGAGAAGCAGAACCACCAACACCUUCAAAAUAGAACACAUAACUCAAUAACUAGAGGUUGAAGAGACAGGAGCAAGCACAGGGUUAAAAGUGAAUAGAAUCGGUGGCUGGAGAGAUGGCUCAGCGGUUAAGAGCACUGGCUGCUCUUCCAGAGGUCCUGAGUUCAGUUCCCAGCAACCACAUGGUGGCUCAUGGCCAUCUGUAAUGGGAUCCCAUGCCCUCUUCUGGUGUGUCUACGGUAUAUUCACAUACGUAAAAUAAAGUAAAACCUCUUUUAAAAAA